Molecule: transfer RNA, 79 nt
Filed under: Bacillus phage BCP8-2
Lineage: Duplodnaviria; Heunggongvirae; Uroviricota; Caudoviricetes; Herelleviridae
Description: tRNA-Asn
Rfam family: tRNA
About the family: Transfer RNA (tRNA) molecules are approximately 80 nucleotides in length.
Source: RNAcentral
GUGCCUGUAGCUCAGUUGGUAGAGCAGAACCCUGUUAAGGUUAAGGUCGUAGGUUCGAACCCUACCAGGUACGCCAAAU